Pelobates cultripes (western spadefoot toad) is the source of this 1358-nucleotide non-coding RNA. The record is from the annotation of a GenBank genome assembly. Lineage: Eukaryota; Metazoa; Chordata; Amphibia; Anura; Pelobatidae.
GUGGACUCAGCAGUUUGUGUGUGUAUGGACUCAGCAGUCUGUGUGUGUAUGGACUCAGCAGAGUCUGUGUGUGUGUACGUGUACGGACUCAGCAGUCUGUGUGUGUGUGUGUGUCUGUAUGGACUCAGCAAUCUGUGUGUGUGUAUGGACUCAGCAGUCUGUGUGUUUGUGUAUGGACUCAGCAGUCUGUGUGUUUGUGUAUGGACUCAGCAGAGUGUGUGUGUGUGUGUGUGGACUCAGCAGUCUUUGUGUGUGUAUGGACUCAGCAGAGUCUGUGUGUGUAUGGACUCAGCAGAGUCUGUGUGUGUAUGGACUCAGCAGAGUCUCUGUGUGUGUGUGAUAAUGCAUUAAUGCCGGACUCAGCAGUCUGUGUGUGUGUGUGUCUGUAUGGACUCAACCCAAUCUGUGUGUGUGUAUAGACUCAGCAGUCUGUGUGUUUGUGUAUGGACUCAGAGUGUGUGUGUGUGUGUGUGUGUGUGUGGACUCAGCAGUCUUUGUGUGUGUGUAUGGACUCAACAGUCUGUGUGUGUGGACUCAGCUUGGUCUGUGUGUGUGUGUGUGUGUGUGUGUGGUUCAGCAGUUUGUGUGUGUGGACUCAGCAGUUUGUGUGUGUAUGGACUCAGCAGUCUGUGUGUGUAUGGACUCAGCAGAGUCUGUGUGUGUGUACGUGUACGGACUCAGCAGUCUGUGUGUGUGUGUGUGUGUCUGUAUGGACUCAGCAAUCUGUGUGUUUGUGUAUGGACUCAGCAGAGUGUGUGUGUGUGGACUCAGCAGUCUUUGUGUGUGUAUGGACUCAGCAGUCUGUGUGUGUAUGGACUCAGCAGAGUCUGUGUGUGUGUGUAUGGACUCAGCAGAGUCUGUGUGUGUUUGUGUGUAUGGACUCAGCAGAGUGUGUGUGUUUGUGUGUGUGUAUGGACUCAGCAGUCUGUGUGUGUGUAUGGACUCAGCAGUAUGUGUGUGUUUGUGUGUAUGGACUCAGCAGAGUGUGUGUGUUUGUGUGUAUGGACUCAGCAGAGUCUGUGUGUGUGUAUGGACUCAGCAGUCUGUGUGUGUACGGACUCAGCAGAGUCUGUGUGUGUGUAUGGACUCAGCAGUCUGUGUGUGUACGGACUCAGCAGAGUCUGUGUGUGUGUAUGGACUCAGCAGUCUGUGUGUGUGUGUAUGGACUCAGCAGUCUGUGUGUGUGUACGGACUCAGCAGAGUCUGUGUGUGUGUACGGACUCAGCAGAGUCUGUGUGUGUGUACGGACUCAGCAGUCUGUGUGUGUUUGUGUAUGGACUCAGCAGUCUUUGUGUGUUUGUGUAUGGAAUCAGCAGAGUGUGUGUUUGUGUAUGGACCCAGCAGUCUGUGUGUGUGUG